Molecule: ribosomal RNA, 460 nt
Filed under: uncultured bacterium
Lineage: Bacteria
Description: partial 16S ribosomal RNA
Rfam family: Bacterial small subunit ribosomal RNA
Source: RNAcentral
CCUACGGGAGGCAGCAGUGAGGAAUAUUGGUCAAUGGACGAGAGUCUGAACCAGCCAAGUAGCGUGCAGGAUGACGGCCCUAUGGGUUGUAAACUUCUUUUAUACAGGAAUAAACCGAGACACGCGUGCCUUUCUGCAUGUACUUUAUGAAUAAGGAUCGGCUAACUCCGUGCCAGCAGCCGCGGUAAUACGGAGGAUCCGAGCGUUAUCCGGAUUUAUUGGGUUUAAAGGGUGUGUAGAUUGGUGGUUAAGUCAGUGGUGAAAGUUUGGGGCUCAACCGUCAAAUUGCAAUUGAUACUGGCAGUCUAGAGUGCAGUUGAGGUAGGCGGAAUUCGUGGUGUAGCGGUGAAAUGCUUAGAUAUCACGAAGAACACCGAUUGCGAAGGCAGCUUACUAAGCUGUGACUGACGUUGAUGCUCGAAAGUGUGGGUAUCAAACAGGAUUAGAUACCCUUGUAGUC